ACUAUUUGAGUUGUAGACCACAUAUCCAAGGCUUACAUGCUCUGCCGGAGCAGCUCCACGUCUUCGGCUGCUCUGAAUGAUGUUCCUUUGAGUAACAUCCCAGCUUUGUUUAAGAAGUAAUACAGUUAUUACAUACAGCUUCUGGGGGUCAUGAAGAAUGAAGCAAAGUGAAUUCUCUUUAAUCACCACAGUUAAGAGAAGAAGAGAACCACUGCAGCUUUCACGGCACAUAUAUUGUUUUCUUGUUUUAUGACAGAAGAGCAAGAGCAUUUAUGACCGAAAAGUGGACAUAUUUGCUUUGGGGCUGAUAUACUUUGAACUCCUUUGGAAACUCUCUAGUGGCCAUGAAAGAGCAAAGAUUUGGUAUGAUGUCAGGAGUCAGAAAUUCCCCAGUGAGUUUUCACGGACUUUUCUCCAAGAGAGCCAAAUGAUUCAGUCGAUGCUGUGUGAGAAGCCAGAGGACCGACCUGAAGCAAGUGCACUAAAGGCAGAGAUGGAACUUUGGGCUCAGAAACAAAAAAUGCGUAAAAUAAGCAGUGUCUGAGUAUCACAAGAGCGUGUGAAGAGUCACAGGAGUGUGUGGCAAAGGAUGGCAGUUUGUAGUUUUUGUCCUCCAUGAUUUUGUCCUCCACCAAAGCUAAUUAAGGUUCUGUCCCUUUUCCCCUGUUGGAUCUUAGUUUUUUGCACCUCUUCUUUGUUUAUUUCUUAGUAGUCUUUCUACUCGGUUAUAUGGUACACAACUUCUGAAAUCCUUUACUUCUCAAACUCAAAUAGCUACUUUACUGUAUGUGAACUUUGGCUCCAAAUAUAAAGUCUGUGUAACUCAGCUUCUAAUGUUAAGUUUCUCAUUGACGUCAUCAGUUUAGCCCCUUUGAUGUGCGUUCCCGUCCCGUUCUAUACGUACUACGUAAGACGCAGUGGUUGCUAUUGGAUACCAAAAAGGGAAUUAACACAUGCUAACUUUGACCUCGAACACUUGCUAUAACAAUAUGUAGCCUAUAUAUAUAAUAGGUGUUAUGCCCAAUCAUCUUAAUUAGAUGCCAAUGGUAAUUGUUAAACUCUGUUUUACUAAGAGUUUUGUUGUACCCGGUACUUUUCAUUUAGCUUCAGUAAUAAAGUUCAGUAGGGCUAGAGGCGUGGCUUUGCGCAUUAGGUUUAUGGACAGUAGGGACAUGUCCCUACCAGUAUUUUGGGAGGACAGAAAUGUCCCUACCAAAAUUUGAACAAACAUGUGCUCAAAAUAAUGUGCCUGACUGACUGACUGAAAGGGAGCACAUUUCAUACAAAUGUCAUAGUGUGCUGAUAAGGGUGCGUUAAACGUUAAAGUUCGAAGCUUAAAACAAUCUAAUAUGUUGUAAUAAAAAAAAGCCACAAAACAAAUCAGUUCUCCAGUUACUUUGAAAUACAAUGGCUAGCUGGUGGUUCCCUGCACAGACAUCUUUCUCCACACUCCACGCUGCCUCAGAUUCACUUGUCUGCUAAAUGUCUAUAAAACAAACAUUUGGACUGUGUGACAAGAGCAUCAGAUAUGUUAUAAGCUAUUCAUUAAAUGCAGAAUGAAUAGUCCAAUGUUAAUGUAACACAUAUAAACAACACAGCCGCUUAACAAUACACCAUUUACUGGCCUCACUCUCGCAUCGGACCUCCUUCCGGUUUUCGGAGUGCCGAUAGUGUCUUCAGUAUAGGCUGCGGCUGCCCUCUAUUGGACCAAAUAAAUAUCGCCCCGAGUCUGAAUCACCAGCAGGUAAGUUUUAGAACAAAUAACCAAAAAUAAUAAAAUCCCAAAGGAGAGGGGUACUAUGAACAAAACAAGGGGUCCUGGGCACCACAUUCUUGCACCACAAAUAUCAUGGGGGCCACACCCUCCCCUACUUACAAAAAUAAACAUACUCUAUGUAUUUUUCCUCUCAUUUGUUUUAGGCUACAUGCAUUUAUAAUGGCUAUACUUGAACAUAAGCUGACCCGUACCUGGGAUAUAUAUCCAAAACACUUUCCAGUGGACAGGGGUGGAGUGUCUUGUACGAAUGUGAUGGCGCUCUGACUGGUUACAGUGGUCUCAUGU
Molecule: long non-coding RNA, 2062 nt
Organism: Monopterus albus (swamp eel)
Lineage: Eukaryota; Metazoa; Chordata; Actinopteri; Synbranchiformes; Synbranchidae
Exons: 3
Source: RefSeq, a predicted model, not a curated record